UUAAGUUCAGCGGGUAUUCCUACCUGAUCCGAGGUCAACCUUGAAAGUGUCGCAGGGCGACGAUUUCUGGCGUGGCCGCGCCGCGUCCCAGAGCGAGUGUUGCUACUACGCAGAGGAAGCCGCGGCGUGACCGCCAAUCGAUUUCGGAGCCGGCCGCCGGAGCGGGGCCGGUCUCCAACGCCAAGCCGGGGAGCUUGAGG
This 200-nucleotide unclassified non-coding RNA is filed under the name Trichosphaerella sp. RNAcentral describes it as "partial internal transcribed spacer 2". The record is from RNAcentral. Lineage: Eukaryota; Fungi; Ascomycota; Sordariomycetes; Hypocreales; Ophiocordycipitaceae.